Molecule: ribosomal RNA, 595 nt
Filed under: uncultured Bacteroidota bacterium
Lineage: Bacteria; Pseudomonadati; Bacteroidota
Description: bacterial SSU rRNA
Rfam family: Bacterial small subunit ribosomal RNA
Source: RNAcentral
CAACCUGCCCACCACUUGGGGAUAACCUUGCGAAAGUAAGACUAAUACCCAAUGACGUCUCUAGAAGACAUCUGAAGGAGAUUAAAGAUUUAUCGGUGAUGGAUGGGGAUGCGUCUGAUUAGCUUGUUGGCGGGGUAACGGCCCACCAAGGCGACGAUCAGUAGGGGUUCUGAGAGGAAGGUCCCCCACAUUGGAACUGAGACACGGUCCAAACUCCUACGGGAGGCAGCAGUGAGGAAUAUUGGUCAAUGGGCGAGAGCCUGAACCAGCCAAGUAGCGUGCAGGAUGACGGCCCUAUGGGUUGUAAACUGCUUUUAUAAGGGAAUAAAGUGAGUCUCGUGAGACUUUUUGCAUGUACCUUAUGAAUAAGGACCGGCUAAUUCCGUGCCAGCAGCCGCGGUAAUACGGAAGGUCCGGGCGUUAUCCGGAUUUAUUGGGUUUAAAGGGAGCGUAGGCCGGAGAUUAAGCGUGUUGUGAAAUGUAGACGCUCAACGUCUGCACUGCAGCGCGAACUGGUUUCCUUGAGUACGCACAAAGUGGGCGGGAUUCGUGGUGUAGCGGUGAAAUGCUUAGAUAUCACGAAGAACUCCGAUUG